CUACGGGAGGCAGCAGUGGGGAAUAUUGGACAAUGGGCGCAAGCCUGAUCCAGCCAUGCCGCGUGGGUGAAGAAGGCCUUCGGGUUGUAAAGCCCUUUUGUCCGGAAAGAAAAGCACGGGAUUAAUACCCUCGUGUGAUGACGGUACCGGAAGAAUAAGCACCGGCUAACUUCGUGCCAGCAGCCGCGGUAAUACGAAGGGUGCAAGCGUUACUCGGAAUUACUGGGCGUAAAGCGUGCGUAGGUGGUUUGUUAAGUCUGUCGUGAAAUCCCCGGGCUCAACCUGGGAAUGGCGAUGGAUACUGGCAAGCUAGAGUGAGGUAGAGGAGAGUGGAAUUCCCGGUGUAGCAGUGAAAUGCGUAGAGAUCGGGAGGAACAUCAGUUGCGAAGGCGGCUCUCUGGACCAUCACUGACACUGAGGCACGAAAGCGUGGGGAGCAAACAGGAUUAGAUACCCCUGUAGUCC
Molecule: ribosomal RNA, 465 nt
Filed under: uncultured bacterium
Lineage: Bacteria
Description: bacterial SSU rRNA
Rfam family: Bacterial small subunit ribosomal RNA
Source: RNAcentral